ACAGAGGCGGCAAGCGUUGUUCGGAAUUAUUGGGCGUAAAGAGCAUGUAGGCGGCUCUGUAAGUCUUUUUUGCCCUCCUUCCUCUUCCCUUCCUCCUUUCUUUCGAAACUGCAUGGCUUGAGUGCGGGAGGGGAGAGUGGAACUUCUGGUGGAGCGGUGAAAUGCGUAGAUAUCAGAAGGAACGUCGGCGGCGAAAACGACUCUCUAGACCGUAACUGACGCUGAGUGUGCGAAAGCUAGGGGAGCAAACGG
This 252-nucleotide ribosomal RNA is filed under the name uncultured prokaryote. RNAcentral's name for it is "partial 16S ribosomal RNA". It matches the Rfam family "Bacterial small subunit ribosomal RNA", at positions 525 to 775 of the family's 1533-position model. The record is from RNAcentral.